GAAAAACCACUUGACCAAAAAGUUUGAAUCAACUAACCUUGUGAGGAGUGAUCCUUAGUUAACCCCCUUUGAGAUUAUUUUAGGAUUCAUUUGAUUGAUAAGUGUAAAAUCAAUUGAAAAUUUUGUGAAUAAAUGAAUCCUAAUUUCUUUCGUGUCAAUUGAACCCUCAAACCGAGUUGUUUGAAAUUUUUUGCCUUUUGCUUAUGUCUAAGUAGGGAGCAUUAUUGAAUAGAUUUGGUUUUGGAAUCUAAAGUUGGGGAGAGUAAAGAAAAAA
RNAcentral lists this long non-coding RNA (274 nucleotides) under Lathyrus oleraceus (garden pea). RNAcentral describes it as "Pisum sativum (pea) long non-coding RNA (PSAT_LNC041373)". Lineage: Eukaryota; Viridiplantae; Streptophyta; Magnoliopsida; Fabales; Fabaceae. The record is from RNAcentral.